RNAcentral lists this transfer RNA (78 nucleotides) under Rhizobium ruizarguesonis. RNAcentral describes it as "tRNA-Leu". Lineage: Bacteria; Pseudomonadati; Pseudomonadota; Alphaproteobacteria; Hyphomicrobiales; Rhizobiaceae. The record is from RNAcentral.
GCGGGCGUGGCGAAACUGGUAGACGCAAGGGACUUAAAAUCCCUUAGAAACUCAACAAUUACAGUACAUUUACUCGCA